AUGGAACCCACAUGUCGUGGGGAAAGUUGGCUGCCCGUGACCUCCCUUGGCUCUUGGGCAAAGGCAAGCGAGGGCUCCCACGACCCCCGCACAGAGCAAGCGAGGAACCUUGCAUACAAAUCAGCUGAAGAACAGCUUCGUCUUUGGAGGGGAGGCUCCAUGGGGAAGAAGAGGAAGCAGGAUCCAGGGAGGGACGACUCGAGCUCCUCCGAUGCCAAGCGCUGUAGGUUUUGCCACUGCCAGAAUGGGGAGACGAGCAGGCCAAAUGACGGCAUGCCGCCUCGGGAGGGGCUUGUGGAUAUCGUUCGCGCCGUUAUCGAAUUGAAAGAAGUCAUGCAGGUUAAAUUGAGCACCGAGGAAAAAUUCAAGAGCAAAAUUAAAAAGCUCAAGGAAAAGAGGAAAAAAGACAAGAAACAACAUGAGGAAGAUCUCAGAGUACUCAAGGCAGAUCUCAGAAAACUCAAGAAAAAUCAAAAAGAGCUCAAAUUCCAAAUCCAAGAAAUGCGAAAAGAAGAGUGUGUUGAAGUAAAUCAUUACAAGGCAUCUCCAUCUCAGAGAAUUGUACAGACUGAGGAUGGUGGAGGUCACAUAAAAGUUGUCAUGUACGAUGGUGAUGAUCCAAUUGCGUCUGACCACGAUCUUGCUUCAGUAGAACUUGAGCUAGUUCUCAUUGAAGGAGCGUUCGAUAAAAAUCGAGAUUCGUGGUCUAAGGAAGAGUUUAAGGAAAGCAUAAUACAACCGCAAAAAACAACGGGAUUGACAAGUCUAGUGAAAAAUGGUACCUUUGAUUUGAGUGAUGGGAAGCGUGACUAUAAAGGUGCCAUUAUUAUGGAUAAUUCGAAAAAAAAGGAAGUUAAGCUUGGAGUAAGGAUCGCAGGGCAUACAAAAAUAAGAGUUCUUGAAGGAGUAUCAAAUCCGUUCAAAGUGCAGGAAGGGAAGACAGAAAAGUCAGGUCCAAACAAAAAGGGUAAUAAACCUUCUCCUCCUGUUAGAGCGGGAAACUUGGUACAGCCAACCAGCACCAAGGCAACACAUCAUGGUUGUCCAGAUGGGCAACAUAGUCUUCCACCACCUGUCAUUCAAGGUGUAUUGGAGAAAACAGAUGAUAAUCGACCAGCUAUUGUGCCACUGAUGGUUGAGGAAAAUGGGCAUGAACUAAAUGGCAAUGGUCAACAACCUUGUCAACAAAUUACGCAAAUCCCGUGUCUACAAACCAGCACCCACUCAAUGCAACAUGAUCCAGGAUAUUGUGGACAAGACCAGUACACUUGUUUUCUUGAUUCAAGUCCACAAUUUGCAUGUCCAGACCUUUACGCGCCAUUGAAUGAAUUUUGCCAGUGGACUUCUGCACCCAAUGAAUGGAGACUUCCAUCACAAAGUGUAGAGGAGGUAUUUGUUGAAGAUGUGCCUAAUUUAUAUGUCCGGACACAAAUUCAAGAGACAUGUGAGUCAUAUAAGAUUGGUCAAGUACUACUUCAGUGGGAUAAGCCUCAUGUGGAGCUCAAGGAACAAUGGAACUUUCUUGAUCAGCUCAUGCCUCUGUACAGCACACAAGCAGUGCUUUAUAGAGAAAGUUUCCCCAGUACGAGCCUCAUGGAGAAAGCCCAUAAGUUAAUGGGCAGUAUUUCAUCAGGCGAUUCUGUUAUGAAGAUUAUCACCAGUCUUCCAAGUCGAACCACACAAACUCCUCAGAGGAGAGGCGUUCUCAUUCGGCCCAUUGAGCCAUAUGAUUCAGAUGAUGAGCCACCAGUUAAGAAGCAAAGGAAUGCCAAAUAUCAAUUGCGAUUUGUCAAUAGGGUGUGCAAUGACUACUAUACACGGGAACAAAUCAAAUCAGAGGAUGGAAAUCUUUUAAAGGUGGCUUUGUAUGAUGAGAACAAUUUGCUAGUCACAUCUGGUCCGCUGUCUUUAGCUUCUGUGGAGAUUGUACUACUUCAUGGUGAUUUCAAUGCUGAAGGUCAAGACUGUUGGACACCAGAGGAGUUCACUGCCUUCCUAGUGCAUCCUAAAUCUGUACAAGAACCACCAGCAUUGGGAGGUGAUCGUGUCUUGACACUGACUGAUGGAGAAGCAGACCUUGGCAAUGUCUAUUUCCAGAUUUCCUCCUUCCAUGCCAGAACUGAAAAGUUCAAGAUGGGUGUUGAGAUUAAAAAUGUAAGAGAAGUGAGUGUUCAAGAAGGAAUCACUAGGCCAUUUCAUGUGAGAGUUCGCCAAGGGGAAGAAUCUAGCCGCCAUCGGAUCACAUCUCUUGAAGCAUUGCUCAGAGUGAAAAUAGAAUUGCCCAAACAAGUAGAAUGUGAUGCCAGGGAAAGCACCGGCGGAUCAUCGGCCAUGGACGAUCAGUCGUUGCAGGUGAGAAGUAUACUGGGGGCAUCGUCGAAGUUGGAGGACCAUGACAACAUGGUUUGGAUGGCUUCCGAUCAAUCUUCAGCUAGUCCCUUGAGGGACUCUGUUUUUCCCCUUGAUAUAUUUUGGAGUACGUUUUCCGAUCAACCUCCAGAGAGAAUGAGAAGGGAGCUUCAGUUACUCUCCACAGAGAAGAAUAAAGAUGCAGAUUACUCUACUGCUAUGGAUCAACCUCCAGAACGUUUUACGAGAAAGAGAAGGGAGCUUCAGUUACUCUCCACAGAGAAGAAUAAAGAUGCAGAUUACUCUACUGCUAUGGAUGGCGGAGUGAGGACUGAUCCUGACUCUGCUGCUGUGCCCGGCGGAGUGUGGCCGAGUGAUCCUGACUCUGCUGCUAUGCACAGCGUAUGGCCGGGCUGUCCUCCGCCCUGA
This 2778-nucleotide ribosomal RNA is filed under the name Triticum aestivum (bread wheat). RNAcentral's name for it is "partial small subunit ribosomal RNA". The record is from RNAcentral. Lineage: Eukaryota; Viridiplantae; Streptophyta; Magnoliopsida; Poales; Poaceae.